Long non-coding RNA from Lineus longissimus, 3529 nucleotides. RefSeq lists it as uncharacterized. The transcript is spliced from 7 exons. Lineage: Eukaryota; Metazoa; Nemertea; Pilidiophora; Heteronemertea; Lineidae. The record is from RefSeq and is a predicted model, not a curated record.
UGUUACUCAUUUAUUCCUUAUGGUCAAUCACAUUAUCAUCCGACACCAAUGUUCGGGUGAACAAAAGACUGAACCUACCAACAAAAACUAAUGCCAACCUUGAAAGAAAGUUUGAGUGCGUUACAUAAAACCACUACCUGUCACAUUUUAGACCUUCCAAUGCAUGCUUUUAGUGUAGUGCAGGCAGAUCACUUAUUGUGGCAGGGUGGACAUGGAUGGUCCUUCUCAGAAGAACACACUCAGAUUUUGACUGUUUCAACAUUUCGAAAUAGCAAAAUCAUUCGUGUUUAGCAUCAAUCUUCUACAAGAUGCUGCAACCUUGUCCACAAUGGGAGAAUCUCGUAUCGCAAGAGGAAGGCUUUCAGUUGUCCAGGCCAGGCCAGGUGACCAAUGACGAUGAUAGAUUGGGUUCGAUUCAAGCUAUACGCUUGGUGUAUUUGGUUAUCGUGACUGGCGACUUGAGUCUAUCUCAUCUCAUUUCCAAAGCGCGGUGGCUGGGUCCCAGGCAUGCUUGCCACUUUGUUCUGCGGUCCUCAUCUAAGUUUCGACGGUGAUGACAUGGACUUAGGUUCAAAGUACGUGUUCCCCUUGAGUCAUUGUGGUUGAUUGAUGGGGGGAAUAGACAGUUGCGUGUCGCUAGUCAUUCAAUUGGUCCCCUUGUUUUAGAGUGUUGGCGGGAUAAGUCUUACGACUGUUAACAAUAGUAAGCAAUAGCUGGCCAGCGAUCCCCUACCUGAUCUCGAGGGGGAUGGAAUGACUGGGGUCCAAGGCCUGUUGUUAACCUGCGGAAUUUCGUCGGACGAAAUGUCAGGCGUGUCCGUGUGGGACUUGUGCUAAACCAGUUUAGUACAUAUGACGAAGACAUUGGGCUCUUUGAAUAACAACAGUGUUCUUGACCUCCUUGUGCCUCACAAAGCUAAUAAUAUACACCCCCUGAAAUCGACAAGACGGCGAUGAAGAAGGAGAGCCGGCCUCCAGCUGGUCAGCCAAGGAGCCACUGGACACGAAGAAUACAGUCUUGAUGCCAAUGUUGGAUUCAAACGGGCCCGGUCCAACAUUGUACAAAGGCCACAAGGUCCAGGGCCACGGGACCAGGGACACAAGGACCAGGGACACAAGGACAAGGGACACAAGGACAAGGGACACAAAAGUUGUUGCAGCCUGCAGGCCCUCUGCAGAGUGAGAUGAUGGCUGUCGAGACGACCCAACCACUCAACCAAGAUCUACAAUCGUACUAUGGUAGACGGGACUCUCCAAGAUUUUGGAUGACGAAGGAAUCUAACACAUAAACGUCGCUCACAGAUACAGCAGACGACCGAGAGCCGAGUGGAUUCAGUGGAUCGAACGGUUGCGCUGAGGGAUAUCCAUGUGCAGGAAUGACGAACCACAGUUCAGCAAACGAUGCCUUGACAGACCAAUUCAAGGAGAACCUUCGCUAAGAUCGGGAAGGGAACGUGUUUGCUGUGUGGAUGGAUUGGACACCGAAAUGUCCGUCGUUCUAAUAGACUACAAUGACAAUGUUCUAAUAGACUAUAAUGACGUUCGAAUUCCGAAGGGACUCUCUGGACUUAGGGAAAGCUACGGACAUAGAGCCCGGACAUGAUAUCCUGCAGCCACCACGAGGACAGCCUAUCUCAUACAUUUGGAAGGAUGCUAUCACACGCAUGGUGAAGCAUCCCACAGAAGAGAGAAGGAUGAUGUCGACCCAGCACAUCCUCUCCAGUUGUCAUCAAGGAACAAUUUGAUGACGGUUUGAUUGUAUUUUUGUCAUCGUAGGCCUUAUCCUUAUACCAAGUUGUGUUUUAUUGAAAUAUCUGAUUGAAAGGUGAUUUAAUCAAAAUCCUAAUAUUUUCUGAUGGUGAGAUUGCAAAGUUACCUUCUUUAUAUGGCAAUGACUCUACGAUUGCCAUGGGUCAAAAUCUUACACCCAUCAAAAGAUGGAAUCGAAAUUAUGGGAUGGGGGUGUUUGAGGUUACCAGGAGACUGGCAGGGGAGCAACAGAGCACUUUUGGAUCCAAGAAAGCAAAAUACAGGGUGGGGUGGUGAACAAUGGAUGGGACAGCGUUGUCUGCAGCUGCCAGGGUAGCCAACGACCACACUUGAACUGUUUUCAAGCAAAAUUGAUUUUUCUGCUCAUAAAUCACCUAAACUCGUCGAUAUUUCAUUUGAUUGUGUCCAUCACUUGAGACAUGGGGUCCAUGUGUUGUUGUUUCUCUGACCCCAGGAAACAAGAACACAUGUGUCUGAUGGAAACGUAGGCCUCUUAUAUAAUGUUGCUUGAUCUCUCUAGUACCACAGAAUCCACUGACAAUCGGCCUGAGAUCCGAUAACCUGAAUGCCCUCGACUUGUUAUCGUCAAUGGCUGGCUCAGUCGCUCAGCGCCAAUGCUUGAGACAACUGACCAACAACAUAGUGAAUUUGUUGAAAUCAUUUCCUCGGGUAUCAGUAAAUUAAAAUUUACUAAUACCCUCGUACCAUCUAAUAAAACAGUAAGUUUAAAACUCUCACUGUUUUAUUGAAACCUACCAUGAUCAAUAGUUAGUUUAACUCUGAAUUUAACCGACUAGACUGGUUCCUGAUCCUACCCCAGUGGUCGCACAGGAACAAAGCUCAAGUCUUUUCUUCAACGUUCAAGCAUUCUGCGAGUUACGAAAAAUAUCUUUUUGCCCCGUCAAAAAGAUUUUAGAUUAGAUUGGUACUGAAUGGAUCAAGCAAAUUGUCAUUUUAAGAACGUCCACUUUUUGACGUUUUUAGAAUAUUUGUCUUGUAUGCAUGUACAUGUACUUGUAAAUCUUGUAUGUAAAAACGAAUGUUUCGUAAAUAAAAUGUCUAAAUGAGAUCAAGACUCUACUUGCCAAAAAAGAGCUGGCAAACCAACUUUUAGUCUUUGCCAUGUCAAGGUCACAUCUUUUGUCAUGCAGAUUAAUGUCAAAGGUGCUCCUUUUGUCAUGCAAAGUUGGCAGACCAGCUCUCCAGAGCCAUGAGAAAUGUGGUUCUUUUGUUAUUCAAAUUGGGUCCUUAACCAAUUGACAGCAAAGUGACCAGUCGUAUUACAAUGGGUUUUUAUAAUACAAAAGCUAAUCCAUGUAUAGAGACAUGAUGAAUGCAUGCAGAGGUUUAGUGCUGGCGUUUCCGUUGUGAAUACUGCUGGCUUAUACUUUUGUGUUGGAGUCGAACAAUAGUAUGAUCUCAAUUUAGCAUUGUGUUUCUUGGACACUUAUUAGUGUUCCUUUGUUAAGGAGUUGAACAUGUUUUAAAGGGAUAGUGCUACAAAGAUCUCCCUGGUCCUCCUCCUAAUUGGGCUUUCGGAGUGGUGCAGUAAAUACUUAAGACAACCAUCAAUGUAAUGUUCAUGUUUGAUGAAGUCAUGAUAGAUAUUUGGGCUGCGCCUGUCACCUGUAUGAUGGAGUUGGCGACUCCCUCCGAUCGCGUAGGUUUUCUCCCGGUGUGCGGGUUUCCUCCUACAAGACAUCCCAAAACGCCAUGUGUCAUCCUUGGAAUGUACAACAAUAAAGAAUUUGAAAGAAAA